GGCCACAGCCAUAUCACCCUGCAGCCCAAGACUGGUUGCCCACUGAAGCUAAGCAGGGUUGAGCCUGGUCAGUACCUGGAUGGGUGACCUCCUGUGAAAACUAGGUUGCUGUUGGAA
This 117-nucleotide ribosomal RNA is filed under the name Sinocyclocheilus anshuiensis. Lineage: Eukaryota; Metazoa; Chordata; Actinopteri; Cypriniformes; Cyprinidae. The record is from RNAcentral.